RNAcentral lists this ribosomal RNA (492 nucleotides) under uncultured bacterium. RNAcentral's name for it is "partial 16S ribosomal RNA". It matches the Rfam family "Bacterial small subunit ribosomal RNA", at positions 29 to 507 of the family's 1533-position model. The record is from RNAcentral.
AGUGAACGCUGGCGGUAGGCCUAACACAUGCAAGUCGAACGGCAGCACAGUAAGAGCUUGCUCUUACGGGUGGCGAGUGGCGGACGGGUGAGGAAUACAUCGGAAUCUACUUUUUCGUGGGGGAGAACGUAGGGAAACUUACGCUAAUACCGCAUACGACCUACGGGUGAAAGCAGGGGAUCUUCGGACCUUGCGCGAUUGAAUGAGCCGAUGUCGGAUUAGCUAGUUGGCGGGGUAAAGGCCCACCAAGGCGACGAUCCGUAGCUGGUCUGAGAGGAUGAUCAGCCACACUGGAACUGAGACACGGUCCAGACUCCUACGGGAGGCAGCAGUGGGGAAUAUUGGACAAUGGGCGCAAGCCUGACCCAGCCAUACCGCGUGGGUGAAGAAGGCCUUCGGGUUGUAAAGCCCUUUUGUUGGGAAAGAAAAGCAGCAGGUUAAUACCCCGCUGUUCUGACGGUACCCAAAGAAUAAGCACCGGCUAACUUCGUG